This 339-nucleotide ribosomal RNA is filed under the name uncultured Streptococcus sp. Its description in RNAcentral is "bacterial SSU rRNA". It matches the Rfam family "Bacterial small subunit ribosomal RNA", at positions 1039 to 1382 of the family's 1533-position model. The record is from RNAcentral. Lineage: Bacteria; Bacillati; Bacillota; Bacilli; Lactobacillales; Streptococcaceae.
UGGUGCAUGGUUGUCGUCAGCUCGUGUCGUGAGAUGUUGGUUAAGUCCGCAACGAGCGCAACCCCUAUUGUUAGUUGCCAUCAUUCAGUUGGGCACUCUAGCGAGACUGCCGGUAAUAAACCGGAGGAAGUGGGGAUGACGUCAAAUCAUCAUGCCCCUUAUGACCUGGGCUACACACGUGCUACAAUGGUUGGUACAACGAGUUGCGAGUCGGUGACGGCGAGCUAAUCUCUUAAAGCCAAUCUCAGUUCGGAUUGUAGGCUGCAACUCGCCUACAUGAAGUCGGAAUCGCUAGUAAUCGCGGAUCAGCACGCCGCGGUGAAUACGUUCCCGGGCCUU